RNAcentral lists this long non-coding RNA (206 nucleotides) under Linum usitatissimum (flax). Its description in RNAcentral is "long non-coding RNA (LUSI_LNC002079)". The record is from RNAcentral. Lineage: Eukaryota; Viridiplantae; Streptophyta; Magnoliopsida; Malpighiales; Linaceae.
CUUAAAAUCUGAAGUUUGGUGAGCUUGAGCAUAAUUUCUCUUCCUUAAUUACAAAACAUGUUACGAUGAAGUUAAAUUUGAAGGAAAACUAAUGAAACCAAUUGAGAAAUUGGAGGGGAAAUCACAAGGGAAUAAGAACUAAACUUAAGAAAAACUAAACUACUGUUGGGAUUUGGUGCAGGCGAUGGGAUGUUUUCCAGUUUUUG